UACGUAGGGUGCGAGCGUUGUCCGGAAUUAUUGGGCGUAAAGAGCUCGUAGGCGGUGUGUCACGUCGUUCGUGAAAACCUGCAGCUUAACUGUGGGCGUGCGGUCGAUACGGGCAUCACUGGAGUUCGGCAGGGGAGACUGGAAUUCUUGGUGUAGCGGUGAAAUGCGCAGAUAUCAGGAGGAACACCGGUGGCGAAGGCGGGUCUCUGGGCCGAUACUGACGCUGAGGAGCGAAAGCGUGGGGAGCAAACAGG
This 254-nucleotide ribosomal RNA is filed under the name uncultured bacterium. RNAcentral's name for it is "partial 16S ribosomal RNA". It matches the Rfam family "Bacterial small subunit ribosomal RNA", at positions 524 to 776 of the family's 1533-position model. The record is from RNAcentral.